Long non-coding RNA from Alligator mississippiensis (American alligator), 468 nucleotides. RefSeq lists it as uncharacterized. NCBI's taxonomy places the organism in Eukaryota, Metazoa, Chordata, Crocodylia, Alligatoridae. The record is from RefSeq and is a predicted model, not a curated record. The transcript has 4 exons.
GGGACUGGGAGAGACGACAGCCUUUCCCCAGUGUAAUGUCAAUGUCGGCUAUCACUUUGGCAGAAUCAGCCAGCUCAGUGAAGACGAAAAAAACUUCUUCCUGUUUUUGUUCAUCUGCUGAUGGCAUUCAAAGUGACCUUCCCUUGUAAAUAUUGGUGAUUCCCUCAAGAUCAGGAUUGAGGUACUUUGACAGAACAGUGUGGGGAAGACUGAAGUGCUACUGCAGGUGGAAAGAUUACUCUGCUGAGAUGAGCUCUUAAUUAAUGCACAGAGAGCCUGUGAGUCCCACCUCUCAACAGUAGUGAUUGACAUCCAAGGAUACAUAAAUUACACUAAUUGAGCUUUGCAUCUAUCCAGUCUAUUCACAGCCAACUCAUCAGAGAAGAUUUUUGGAUUGUCUCUGUGUAGCUGGAGUAAUACCAUUGUAUCAGAGAGAAACCGGAGGUCGGGGGAAACAGAAAGAAAGGU